GACGAACGCUGGCGGCGUGCUUAACACAUGCAAGUCGAACGGAAAGGCCCUGCUUUUGUGUGGUGCUCGAGUGGCGAACGGGUGAGUAACACGUGAGUAACCUGCCCUUGACUUUGGGAUAACUUCAGGAAACUGGGGCUAAUACCGGAUAGGAGCUCCUGCUGCAUGUUGUGGGUUGGUAAGUUUCGGCGUUUGGGGAUGUACUCGCGGCUUAUCAGCUUGUUGGUGGGGUAGUGGCUUACCAAGGCUUUGACGGGUAGCCGGCCUGAGAGGGUGACCGGCCACAAUGGGACUGCGGGACGGCCCAGGAUCCUACGGGAGGCAACAGUGGGGAAUAUUGCACAAUGGGGCGAAGCCUGAUGCAGCAACGCCGGGUGCGGGAAGACGGCCUUCGGGUUGUAAACCGCUUUCGACUGUGACGAAGCGUUAGUGACGGUAAUGGGUAAAAAAGCCACGGCUAACUACGUG
This 468-nucleotide ribosomal RNA is filed under the name uncultured bacterium. Its description in RNAcentral is "partial 16S ribosomal RNA". It matches the Rfam family "Bacterial small subunit ribosomal RNA", at positions 28 to 507 of the family's 1533-position model. The record is from RNAcentral.